CAUAGCCUAUCUUGUUUGUAGUUUGGUAUCUAUUUGAACCAACAAAUUAACAUAGGGAGCUAUUACUUUGGCAAUGGAAUUGACGCCUCUGUAGAGUGGAACAACGAAGUUGUCAGGACAGCACCCACCUUAUUAGAACAGGUUCAAAGAUAAACAAAUUACGGCAAGGUGGGUUUGUU
This 179-nucleotide non-coding RNA is filed under the name Actinomycetes bacterium. RNAcentral describes it as "6S RNA". It matches the Rfam family "6S / SsrS RNA". From Rfam's summary of the family: E. coli 6S RNA was the first non coding RNA to be sequenced, but its function was unknown until recently. It consists of 184 nucleotides that fold into an extended hairpin structure with a large single-stranded internal bulge. The record is from RNAcentral. Lineage: Bacteria; Bacillati; Actinomycetota; Actinomycetes.